CCUACGGGUGGCAGCAGUGGGGAAUAUUGCACAAUGGGGGACACCCUGAUGCAGCGACGCCGCGUGAGCGAAGAAGUAUUUCGGUAUGUAAAGCUCUAUCAGCAGGGAAGAAAAUGACGGUACCUGAGUAAGAAGCUACGGCUAAAUACGUGCCAGCAGCCGCGGUAAUACGUAUGGAGCAAGCGUUAACCGGUUUUACUGGGCGGAAAGGGAUCGUAGGCGGCCUGCCGAGUCUGAUGGGAAAUACCGGGGCGUAACCCCGGGGCUGGAUUGGAAACUGGCAGGCUGGAGUGGCGGAGAGGCAGGCGGAAUUCCUAGUGAAGCGGUGAAAUGCGUAGAUAUUAGGAGGAACACCAGUGGCGAAGGCAGCCUGCUGGACGGUGACUGACGCUGAGGCUCGAAAGCGUGGGGAGCAAACAGGAUUAGAUACCCCGGUAGUC
Molecule: ribosomal RNA, 440 nt
Filed under: uncultured bacterium
Lineage: Bacteria
Description: partial 16S ribosomal RNA
Rfam family: Bacterial small subunit ribosomal RNA
Source: RNAcentral